CAGCAGGAAGGUGGAAACCCAUCCAGUCAUUCCAGCUAUGGUAAUGAAGGAAAGGAAGACAUUAAAAUAUUGGGACACAGACUUAGGAGUGCAGGAUGGAUGGAUGGAGACAAAGGGGAAUGAUCAAAUUCCCUCAUGGAGUAAUUGAGCAACGUCACAAGGAAACGUUGCAGAAGAACGUAGAAUUAGUGAAAACAAAAUGCAGAGGCAAAAGUAUGCCUGCUUCCAUUUUAUGGAAUCCAAUCCAGGAAGGAGGGCAGUUUGUCACUUAGACUGAAGUUGUGUCACGCUUGUCGUUGGAAAUUGAGGACCAAAACACAGCAGCCUCCCCCCUUGUGAAUCUCCACUGGAAACAGAGCUUCCCUGUAACCCUACAACUUCAGUGUCUGCAGAUCUGAAUCAACUGGAUGGGUUGACAGCAAUAUGGCAGAGACUCUCUUCAACCUACUGGAAGCUUGGCUGGGUGGAGCCUUCUCCAUUUGAAAUUAACCACCACAGCAGAACCCGGACUUGAACCCGAUCGAACAUCUCUGGAGAGACUUGAAAAUAGCUGUGCAGCAAUGCUCCCCAUCCAACCAGACAGAGCUUGAGAGGAUCUGCGCAGAAGAAUGGGAGAAACUCCCCAAAUACAGCUGUGCCAAGCUUGUAGCGUCAUACCCAAGUAGACUCAAGGCUGUAAUCGCUGCCAAAGGUGCUUCAACAAAGUACUGAGUAAAGGGUUUGAAUACUUACAUAAAUGUAAUAUUUGAGUUUUUAUUUUUAUAAAUUUGCAAACAUUUAUAAAAACCUGUUGUGCUUUGUCAUUAUGGGGUAUUGUGUGUAGAUUAAUGACAUAAUGUAACAAAAUGUGGAACAAGUCAAGGAGACUGAAUACUUACCAAGUGCACUGUAUGUAUGUAUAUAUUUUUUACCGCUCUAGGGAUAUAAUUAUUGUUUGGCUGACCUUAUUUACUAUCAUGUAUUGAUUUCUACCUUUAAUUUUUUCACUCUUUGUGAUGUCCACUGCAGAGAACACCGGAAGAAGAAUUAUCACUGAAUUAUCACAGUGAAUUAUUGUACUGUUUGUUAAUGUGUCAAUUAAUCCCAUAAGGAAUGGGUUACCACCUGGCAACGGAAAUAACAUUUUAUUAAUUCCUUCACACUGCUUGGUUAGAUCUCAUUCAGUAAAGAUAUAUCUCAAUGGGACUCCCCAGUUAAGAAAAAAGCAGAUCUUCAAAAAUAACAGCCAGAGUAAGAGUAUGGAAAGAAAGUCUUCAGCGUCCUGAGAGCUCCUGGAAACAAGUUGGAGCAGAAACAUGUAGAAACUACUGUUGACUAACCCCAUUCUAAUACUGUUGUAGGACUGCUGAUGAAUUGGGGACUUGUACUUGGCUGCUUCCCUUUGAGGCUAACACUGACCCCCUAGCAGAUCCAAAGCCAACCCCCAAGAUUAUACCAGCAGGCGUUACUAAGAACAUCCCUCUGUAUGAAAUGCUUUGCCUCCUGUUUUGACUAGCUCUCUUUUUCUAGUUUCUGUCAUCCCUCUCCUCCAGUCCCCCUCUCUUGCUUUCCUUCCUCUCUCUGCAUGUAAAUUGGAGAGCAAAGAAAUGGCACAUCUCCAACAGUACGAGCAGUAUUAAAUGGAUGUCUACUCCACACAUUAUAGCCCAUGAAAUUCGACGACUGAAGCAUAACAUUGAAAUGAAGAGCCGAUCUGAGUUGUGAUGACUCAUUUCCCUAUUCCACAUUCCACAUUUAUUCUAAUUACGCCCAGGCCUUCUCCACCUCCCUUCUAGGAGAGGUGUCUGUGUCAGAGAUUCUGUCAGAGCUGCUUCCCCAGAUGAAGUAGGGGGAGACCCAGCAUUCUUCACUGUCAGAGAGAAGCUUCACACAUCUGGAGACAGAUUUAUCAAGCUGCUAUGGCCUUGGACUGUGGGUACAAACACACACACACACUCACACUUUACGAUAACAUCAAUGUUUCAUAAAUAAUAAAUAGAACUUCUAGAAUGCAUGAUAAAAGCCCUUUGAAUCGAUUUAACCUUGGCAGAGUUUAGCAGUUCAAGGUUGACUCUUCUAUGAUAAAAAAAGCAACAUGUAUUUCAUUUCCCUCAGCUUUGCAUUUCUUCAGAUGCAAUAAUUAUGUAGCAGGGAGAAUUAAGAGAGAGUUAGACACUCAUCUGAGCGCCACGAUUACCAGCUUAUCUUCUGUGUGUCACCCCCCCCACACACACACACACUCCUAACCUCUUCUGAAAGUCUACCCCCCCAGCUGUUCCCCCCUUCUCUCUGCACUGUCUGAUAAGGCCAUGGAUUUUCUACUGUACUGAUUAUCCAUGACUCAGACCCAUAGCAGUCAUCUGCCUUUUGGCCUGGAUCAAGCACUUUGCCCUAAGUCACCUCAAGUCUACAGAGUCUUAGCUGUAAAUCUCUAUAUAUGUAUCUCUAUUUAUCCUGCUCACACUGUGUAUAUUUUCUUGGCAGACAUGAUUGACAAUGGUAGGAAGUAUGUUACUACCUGCAUGCCGGUUACGUCUUCCAUCUCCCUUUCCAUUGAGUUUCCUGGCUCCAAUGACCUUGGACGAGUUGGGUUCAGCACCACGGACAGUUCCACAUAGCUCCAAUGACCUUGGACAAGUUGGAUUCAGAACCACGGACAGUUCCACAUAGCCAUCAGCAUGCAGCAAUGCAACAGACCACAAUAUGAUUUGUCUAUCGUUUUCUACAAUGUCAUUUGAACAAAACACUAAUGACCUGUGAGAUCAAGUUCUUAGUUCCUGUGCUUGAGAAGGACCCUUAAGAUGUUUUGAGCUCCACAGCCGACCUGGACACAUUACAGACUAAGAGAUGAAGAGUUUGCAUGACUAAUGGAUCUGAUUACCUUGGCUGGGAUUCAAUCCGAGGCACUUUGGAUAGCGCUGUCGACAAAGCGCCUUUUUUAAUAAAUAUAUAUAUUUAUAAAUUAUCUUCGGGAACAGUGUCCUGUCCACAGGAUGGUUGAGUUAACGUAGGCUAAUGCGAUUAUCAUGAGGUUGUAAGUAACAAAAAAAUUACCCAAGACGUAGACAUAUCUGAUAUUGGCAGAAAGCUUAAUUUCUUGUUAAUCUAACUGCAGGUCCAAUUUACAGUAGCUAUUACAGUGAAAGAAUACCAUGCUAUUGUUUGAGGAGAGUGCACAAUUUUGAACAUGAAAACUUAUUAAUAAACAAAUUAGGCACAUUAGAGCAGUCUUCAUUCAAAAUUUUGAACAGAAAUGCAAUGGUUUAUUGGAUCAGUCUAAAACUUUGCACAUACUCUGCUGCCAUCUAGUGGCAAGAAUCUAAAUUGCAGCCGGGGUGGAAUAAUACGUUGUGGCCUUUCUCUUGCAAUUCAAAGAUACAAAAUAACAGUUUUUUUUCUUUGUAUUAUCUUUUACCAUAUCUAUUGUGUUAUAUUCUCCUACAUUUCUUUCACAUUUCCACAAACGUCAAAGUGUUUCCUUUCAAAUUGUACCAAGAAUAUGCAUAUCCUUGCUUCAGGGCCUGAGUUACAGGCAGUUAGAUUUAGGUAUGUUCUUUUAUAUGGAAAUUGAAAAAAAGGGGCGGAUCCUUAAGAGGUUGACAAUGUUCCCUCGUUCGUAGCG
This 3601-nucleotide long non-coding RNA is filed under the name Salmo salar (Atlantic salmon). RNAcentral's name for it is "lncRNA (ENSSSAG00000093037.1)". Lineage: Eukaryota; Metazoa; Chordata; Actinopteri; Salmoniformes; Salmonidae. The record is from RNAcentral.